UACAGAGGAGCCAAGCGUUGUCCGGAUUGACUGGGCGUAAAGCGCACGCAGGCGGUUGCGCGCGUGGGGGGUGAAAUCUGGCCGCUUAACGGCCAGGCGCCAUCCCAUACGGCGCGACUGGAGUGAUGCAGAGGUCGAUGGAAUUGCCGGUGUAGUGGUGAAAUGCGUAGAGAUCGGCAGGGACACCCAGGGGGAAACCAGUCGACUGGGCAUCUACUGACGCUGAGGUGCGAGAGCGUGGGGAGCGAACCGG
RNAcentral lists this ribosomal RNA (253 nucleotides) under uncultured bacterium. RNAcentral's name for it is "partial 16S ribosomal RNA". It matches the Rfam family "Bacterial small subunit ribosomal RNA", at positions 524 to 776 of the family's 1533-position model. The record is from RNAcentral.